RNAcentral lists this ribosomal RNA (327 nucleotides) under uncultured eukaryote. Its description in RNAcentral is "partial 18S ribosomal RNA". It matches the Rfam family "Eukaryotic small subunit ribosomal RNA", at positions 1470 to 1796 of the family's 1831-position model. The record is from RNAcentral.
CCCUUAGAUGUUCUGGGCCGCACGCGCGCUACACUGACGAAUGCAACGAGCUUAUAACCCUGGCCGAAAGGUCUGGGUAAUCUCCAAAUUUCGUCGUGAUGGGGAUAGAUUAUUGCAAUUAUUAAUCUUCAACGAGGAAUGCCUAGUAAGCGCAAGUCAUCAGCUUGCGUUGAUUACGUCCCUGCCCUUUGUACACACCGCCCGUCGCUCCUACCGAUUGAAUGGUCCGGUGAAGCGUUCGGACCGUGGCCUUUGGACGGUUCGCCGUCUGUUGGCUGCGGGAAGUUCGUUAAACCUUAUCAUUUAGAGGAAGGAGAAGUCGUANCA